CAGCAUCAGGGUUGCAUCUGGAGCGGAUGAUGUGCCUCCACCGGUCUCUGUCCAUCAAAAAUAUCUGAAACAUCAAAUAUAAAAUACCGGUCGUGAAACAGCAGUUACCACUAAAACUGGCGAGUGGUAAGAGCCAGCAGCCGCCCCCCGGCUACCAUCGCUUGCACGAGUCGCCGAGCGAAGACGCGGAGUAUCCAAAUGUAUUUUAACACGAAAAAAUAUAUUUAUAUCAAAGUCAAGGCCUUGUAAUCCACCACACUCGUACCGGAAGCUCCCCUGCGCCGCUCCCAUCGCAGCAACAGUUUAACAACAACAAGGCCACUAGGACAAACACUUACCCCAAGCUACCGGACAAGUUCCGCAUCCGGCCGGCAGACACGCCCACGCACGCGGCCACGCCCCACGCCUCCCCCGCCCCCGAGGAGGAGGUCAUCUACUUCUGACACGACGCGCCCUCCUGAGACUGUCUUAUCGCUUAACCCCAUAAGCCACUCCCUACUCCUCACUCCUCCCCACUUCCCCCACUGUCCUCCACACUCAUUUCUCCCCUCUCCUUACUCCUCAAUAAUUCAACUCGUCAACCACAUCAAGCAAUUUAUCUUAUGGUACUUUUUUCUAUAUGUAGAAUAAGUAUCACAAGUUAAGUACAUUGUGUAUAGGCAUUUAAAUGUAGUGAACCCCCCCCCCCCCCCCCUAGACCAGUACCAGUCUUGAUUUAUAUAGAAUACUCUCUACUUUUGUAGUUACGUUAAUGUUCGUUAAUGACUAGUUGAAUUAAAUAAUAACAUUUUCUUAUUUAAAUCUAUCUUAAUACACACAAUAGAUUAAUUAUUCGAAAUUAUGUUCAAGUAUUAUAUAAAUAUAUUGUAUAGUGUAAUAAUGUAACUUUUUAGUCAACGGUGUGAAUUAAACAUGACGAAAGUUUUUAAAUUAAGUAAUUGUUUUAGUCGAAAUUAACAAAAAUAAUUACUAUGGCAAAACUAUGGUGAUAUUAGCGAAUCACUCAUAACAGUUAUAUCAAAUAGUAACAAUAUAAAUUAAUUGAUAUAUGAUAAAGAAGUGUAAUGAUUGAACUGUGCGGUCCUCGUAUAAUACAGCAAAAAAUUCCCCGUAAAGAACUUAUUCAUGAUACUUAUACACGAUAUAUUUGUAUAUCUUCUCCUAACAAACACGGUUCCUAGCGUACUAAGCAGCUAUAUAUCUAUUUUUUUUAAAUAAUGUCUUUCAUCAAUGAUAAAAAACGGUAUAAUCCUAGUCAAAUCCGUGAAAACAGUCGAAAUAUUCACAUAAACAUACCAUAUCAAGGUAUCUCAGUAAAGUUUUGUACUCGAAACUAUUUAAACUACAUAUUAUUUUUGUAAGACACAAAAUGGAUUAAACAGGUCAAAAUAUACUACUAACUAAUUCUACAUAAAUAUUGUUACAAUGUGUAUUGUAUAUAUCUUGUUGAGUAGUUAAAUGACUUGCAUUUUGAAAUUGAAUGUAUGGCGCUAAAUGAAAUUGAAAUUUAAAUCAUGUAUUUGUAUAUUUGAUCUUGAUAAGUUAUAAAAAAAGUCUAUUGAAAUCUUUUCUGACGGCUAAUUUUUUUUGUUUUUUUUUUUUUAAAUUGUAUUACCGACUUGCGUUUUCAAAUAGAAAAAGAAAAAUCGUUAAGAUUGCAAGUAAAUAACAUUGAAUAGUGGCCAAUAUGUAUAUAAGUUAAAAAAUAAUGUAAUUCUUUGUCAUUAUUUCAAAAUUUUAUUUGAAUAUUUAUCAAGAACACAUGUCUUCUGUAAAUAUAAAAUUUAAUUCCUG
Molecule: unclassified non-coding RNA, 1794 nt
Filed under: Melitaea cinxia (Glanville fritillary)
Lineage: Eukaryota; Metazoa; Arthropoda; Insecta; Lepidoptera; Nymphalidae
Description: misc RNA ENSMCXG00005001406.1
Source: RNAcentral